Vicugna pacos (alpaca) is the source of this 1390-nucleotide non-coding RNA. The record is from RefSeq and is a predicted model, not a curated record. Lineage: Eukaryota; Metazoa; Chordata; Mammalia; Artiodactyla; Camelidae.
UUCUGAAUUGUCUGACCAAAGAAUCCACUAAACUUUAACCCAUUUCCUAAACUGACUUAGUCACACCCCUCACUCUGCCCCCUCCCCUUUUAGUUAUACAUCACUUUGGGAAGCAUUUAGAGUAGAACUGUAGAAAGUCACUAUUAGCCGUAAUUGAAACAAUGGCUCUGAUUCCUCCUACAUGUUUGAGAGUUGGUUUCUAUGUCCUCUGUUUGUGGCACAGACACUCAUCUAACAUUCAUUGAGCUGUUUCUUGCUAGAAGCUUAUUCAGUCCCCCCCCUCAUCAACUUUAUGAGGUAGGUGUAUCGUUCCAAUUUUAAAGAUGAGGAAACAGGCUUAAAGAGUAUCUAAACGCAAGUAUCUAAUCGCAAGGUCGCAUGGCCAAGCUGUGGCAGAUUGAGGAUUUGCGUGUCUGUGUCAUUCUAGACUCGUGUUCAACCGUUGUGCUGUGCUACUUGUGCUCUUGAGUUUAUGGCGUCAUUUUUCCAUUUGAAAUCUUCCACUGGCUUCGCAUUACACUUGGAAUAAUGUCCAGACUUCUUAUUGUGGGUCUGUAAGGCCCUGCAUAAUUUGAUUCUCUUCGACUUCUCUGAUCUGUUUUUUAUUGCUUGCUGUUUUCCAGCUUUUCUGGCUCUCUUUGUUUUAUUUUUCAUACAAGAAAGGCCCCUUUGCUGCCUUCGCACCUUGAUACCGCUCUUCCUUUGCCCUGUCUCAGACCCCCUUGGAUAGCUGAUUUUUCCUCAUCUUUUAGAUCUAGACUCAAAUAAUAGCUUCCCAGAUAGGCCUUUGCCUAAGAAAGACCUAGCUUAAAGUAGAACUCUCCUCCCACCCCCAAAAAAGUGUCAGUCUCAUUUGCUUUGCUGUAUUUCUUCCCUUGAUAAUGCUUACCACCACCCAUAUUAUCUUGUUUAUUUAUUUUUUUGUUUUUCUUCCCCCACUAGAAUGUAAGCUCCAUGAGGUAAAGGGCCUUACCUAUCUUGUUGACCACUGAGUCCCCAAGCAUCAAGCAUAAUGCCUAGUAUAUCAUAAAUAUCAGAUGAUUCAUGAAUGGAAGGAAGGAAUGUUAAUAAGUUCAUGGCCAAGCAAAGGAAGGAAAAGGAGCAGAAUGAGGCUGAAGAAAGAAGCUCUAGGUGAUUGGGGGAAAGGGGAAAGAACUCAUUAGAAAUUCGUUUAGGGUCCAGUUGAUUUGUGUAUUUUUGUUAUCACUUAAUUUGUAAUUUUUGUUUCAGAAGCGAAUAUUCAUGUUGUACAAAUUUCUGAUUGCCCUUGAUGUAGAGAGACUGAUGGGGAAAGUAUGAUGGGUUUGAUUUUUAUAUCAAAUCAUCAGGCAUGGAGAAAUAUCUUUUAGAAGUGUUAAAUAAAUGUUCCUACUGUAUAUUUAAAAUACAA